UACGUAGGGUGCAAGCGUUAAUCGGAAUUACUGGGCGUAAAGCGUGCGCAGGCGGCUUUGCAAGACAGAUGUGAAAUCCCCGGGCUUAACCUGGGAACUGCAUUUGUGACUGCAUGGCUGGAGUGCGGCAGAGGGGAUGGAAUUCCGCGUGUAGCAGUGAAAUGCGUAGAUAUGCGGAGGAAUACCGAUGGCGAAGGCAGCCUCCUGGGCCAACACUGACGCUCAUGCACGAAAGCGUGGGGAGCAAACAGG
Molecule: ribosomal RNA, 252 nt
Filed under: uncultured bacterium
Lineage: Bacteria
Description: partial 16S ribosomal RNA
Rfam family: Bacterial small subunit ribosomal RNA
Source: RNAcentral